GGAUACUGUUGGACUAACAUGUUUGUAGUGCCUCCUUGGACCUGGUGGGUCGAGCUCUUCCCUUGGGUAGCCGUACUCACUGGAAACUAUGGACAAUAGUUCUCACCCCGUGUUGUUUUUGGGGGUACAGGUUCACAUGUGAGCGGCGCGGUGGCGCGAGGAGAGGGCGUAGCUCUGUAGAUAGCGCCUUACCACCGAGACUAGAGAUAGCGGUACCCCGAAGUGGUCUAAUUAGGGGUUGUAGAAAAAGAAAGAAAACAAUGUUGUAAUAAAUUGUAAUCAAUGAUUGUAUUUGGAAGUCGAUUGUAAAAGAAAAUGUGAUGUAAAAUACAAGUGAGCAGAAUGCUUGUAAUAACUUAGUUGUUAUGUUUUUGAUACUUCCUUAUACAAUUUAUGAUUGAAUAUUGUUCCUAGUUGGAACCUCUUGUAUUGUAUUGAUUGCGACGCCAAGGACGUAUAGGGGAGACUCUGUCAGUUCGGCGGUCUGUCGGCGUGCCC
This 498-nucleotide long non-coding RNA is filed under the name Ananas comosus (pineapple). RNAcentral describes it as "long non-coding RNA (ACOM_LNC028043)". The record is from RNAcentral. Lineage: Eukaryota; Viridiplantae; Streptophyta; Magnoliopsida; Poales; Bromeliaceae.